Long non-coding RNA from Strongylocentrotus purpuratus (purple sea urchin), 645 nucleotides. RefSeq lists it as uncharacterized. The transcript is spliced from 3 exons. Lineage: Eukaryota; Metazoa; Echinodermata; Echinoidea; Camarodonta; Strongylocentrotidae. The record is from RefSeq and is a predicted model, not a curated record.
GUUUAAAUAUAAUUACUAGACGGAAAGCAGCACGCGCGGAAACCAUGCAGAUGAAUGGGAUUAGGCUCCGCCUCUUUUGGAUCAUUUGAAGACAAAAUAAGCCACCGAGGCGGCUCUUUGAUUGGAUAUGAGCCUCAUGAAUAUGUAUUUUAUCGAUAGUAUCGUUUAAGAAACCGGAUAAUAUAUUUGACCUCAUUGCGUCACUUUUAUUAUGCAGAUUUAUGCACGACGCAGGCUACUCGCACAAACUGAGAAGAUUUAGUUCAUUGAGAAUGGAUUGAAACUAAUGAAGAGCUGGAAGGAGUUAACUGAUGAGUAGACAUUACAACAUUUCUUAUAUUUGCAAGAUGAAGCUGAAAGUCCCAUUGCAGGAUGAUGCUUCUCUACAGUGGAUGAUGAAGGCAUGCUGAUUACAAACCCAGGAGAGGAACAAAGAACAGAUAUUGACAGAAGCAUAUCUAGAGAUGCGGGCCUACUACACUUCAUACGAGCAAGUGUGCUAAUAUACAAUGUAGGUACCCCCAAUAACCUAUUGUAGAACACAUAUCAUGCAGAAAGUUAUAGAUCUGAAAAACAUAUUUUUCAUUGUCCGUUACUUGUAAAAGAAUACUUGACUGAAUAUCACAAUUGUGAUUUAGAUUUAAA